This 208-nucleotide ribosomal RNA is filed under the name uncultured bacterium. RNAcentral describes it as "partial 16S ribosomal RNA". It matches the Rfam family "Bacterial small subunit ribosomal RNA", at positions 1292 to 1500 of the family's 1533-position model. The record is from RNAcentral.
UUCAGACUGCAGGCUGCAACUCGCCUGCACGAAGUCGGAAUUGCUAGUAAUCGUAGGUCAGCAUACUACGGUGAAUACGUUCCCGGGCCUUGUACACACCGCCCGUCAAACCAUGAGAGUUGGCAACACCCGAAGUCGGUAGUCUAACCGCAAGGAGGACGCCGCGAAGGUGGGGUUGAUGAUUAGGGUUAAGUCGUAACAAGGUACC